GAUAGGUAGAACCUGCGGAAGGAUUCAUUAAAUAAUCAAUAAUCUUGGCUUGUCCAUUAUUAUCUAUUUACUGUGAACUGUAUUAUUAUUUGACAUUUGAGGGAUGUUCCAAUGUUAUAAGGAUAGACAUUGGAAAUGUUAACCGAGUCAUAAUCAGGUUUAGGCCUGGUAUCCUAUUAUUAUUUACCAAAUGAAUUCAGAAUUAAUAUUGUAACAUAGACCUAAAAAAUCUAUAAAACAACUUUUAACAACGGAUCUCUUGGUUCUCGCAUCGAUGAAGAACGUAGCAAAGUGCGAUAACUAGUGUGAAUUGCAUAUUCAGUGAAUCAUCGAGUCUUUGAACGCAACUUGCGCUCAUUGGUAUUCCAAUGAGCACGCCUGUUUCAGUAUCAAAACAAACCCUCUAUCCAACUUUUGUUGUAUAGGAUUAUUGGGGGCCUCUCGAUCUGUAUAGAUCUUGAAAUCCCUGAAAUUUACUAAGGCCUGAACUUGUUUAAAUGCCUGAACUUUUUUUUAAUAUAAAGGAAAGCUCUUGUAAUUGACUUUGAUGGGGCCUCCCAAAUAGAUCUCUUU
This 573-nucleotide ribosomal RNA is filed under the name Mucor racemosus. RNAcentral describes it as "eukaryotic LSU rRNA". The stretch from base 240 to 392 matches the Rfam family "5.8S ribosomal RNA". Lineage: Eukaryota; Fungi; Mucoromycota; Mucoromycetes; Mucorales; Mucoraceae. The record is from RNAcentral.